CCUACGGGAGGCAGCAGUGAGGAAUAUUGGUCAAUGGACGAGAGUCUGAACCAGCCAAGUAGCGUGAAGGAUGACUGCCCUAUGGGUUGUAAACUUCUUUUAUAUGGGAAUAAAAUGUUCCACGUGUGGGAUUUUGUAUGUACCAUAUGAAUAAGGAUCGGCUAACUCCGUGCCAGCAGCCGCGGUAAUACGGAGGAUCCGAGCGUUAUCCGGAUUUAUUGGGUUUAAAGGGAGCGUAGGUGGAUUGUUAAGUCAGUUGUGAAAGUUUGCGGCUCAACCGUAAAAUUGCAGUUGAAACUGGCAGUCUUGAGUACAGUAGAGGUGGGCGGAAUUCGUGGUGUAGCGGUGAAAUGCUUAGAUAUCACGAAGAACUCCGAUUGCGAAGGCAGUUCACUGGACUGCAACUGACAUUGAUGCUCGAAAGUGUGGGUAUCAAACAGGAUUAGAUACCCGUGUAGUC
RNAcentral lists this ribosomal RNA (460 nucleotides) under uncultured bacterium. Its description in RNAcentral is "partial 16S ribosomal RNA". It matches the Rfam family "Bacterial small subunit ribosomal RNA", at positions 338 to 795 of the family's 1533-position model. The record is from RNAcentral.